CUCGAUGAGAGUCGACUUGCACUCACACUUGUCCGCGUCCACAAAGUCGAGCUUCUCCUUCAUGAAGCUAAAGGGCAUGGCUGCAAGAUCAACGGCGUGUUAUGCUACUGCUUUGGCCUUAGGGUGGGCGGUGGCAACGAUGUGGGGAGCAAGCUUGGGGGCUUGGGUGUGCCAGUCCAUGACGCCGGCGCGGAACAGGCGCUGUGCGGCCACCGGCGACUCGAUCUCGACGGUCCAGCUGUUGGUGGAGGCCAUUGCUGCAGUGAUCUACUCUGAGUUUAUGACCGGCUGGUGCAAGUGACGAGCUGAAAGGUAUUGCAGUGCAGGAGCUCCUUGGUUGCCUGGACUGCGGAGAAGUGAGAAUAGGGCUCGAAAGCCGGAGUUAGUGAAACUUGGCCGUAUGGGUCUGGUAAGUGGAGACCGGCCGGCCGGUGACCGGUGAGGGCGCGAGGCGCCAAAGUGCGCAUCGAGUUUUUUUCCAUAAUGGAUAUGGCCCCCUCGGUCGGCUAUGCUUUUAUGAUUGUUCAUUGUUGGGCAUUGCUGGUCUGGAGGCACACGUUAAUCUAUAGAGAAAAGGGACGAAUAUGUUAUCAAAUCGGCAUCACCAUCACGUGGGUAAAUGAGAAGAGAAAAAUGAGGAGAAGAAUGGAUGUCUUAAUAAAAGAAACACCCAAUAUUUGUUGUCGGUGUGGUUUGAAAGAAGAAACCAGACUGAACUACUGAAUUGAUUCGAAA
Molecule: long non-coding RNA, 735 nt
Organism: Lolium perenne
Lineage: Eukaryota; Viridiplantae; Streptophyta; Magnoliopsida; Poales; Poaceae
Source: RefSeq, a predicted model, not a curated record